RNAcentral lists this ribosomal RNA (348 nucleotides) under Triticum aestivum (bread wheat). RNAcentral's name for it is "partial small subunit ribosomal RNA". Lineage: Eukaryota; Viridiplantae; Streptophyta; Magnoliopsida; Poales; Poaceae. The record is from RNAcentral.
AUGUUUACUGGAAGGAGCCCAAUAGAAGGCAUGUUCAGAGAUUCAUUGGAUCUUCAUAAGUUUGUUGAGGAUACACUUCAAGAUAUGACCCUGGAGAUAGCUGACCCAACAAUGCGGCUGCACAAUGGACAAUGGGAUAACACUGCAAGUAUUAGAAUCAUGGAGUUAUUGGUUUCAGUUUUGAGGCUUGGCAUAUCUUGCUCCAAGGCACAGCCUCGAGACCGAUCACUGACGAGGGAUGCAGUGGCAGAGAUGCACACAAUCAGAGAUGCGUACCUCAAGCUUAUGGGGGAGCAUGGAGCAGAAAGAGAAGCCUCGACUCGAGAAAUUGAGAUGAGCGUUGAAUAA